CAGCAGCCGCGGUAAUACGUAGGUGGCAAGCGCUGUCCAGAAUUAUUGGGCGUAAAGGGCUCGCAGGCGGUUUCUUAAGUCUGAUGUGAAAGCCCCCGGCUCAACCGGGGAGGGUCAUUGGAAACUGGGAAACUUGAGUGCAGAAGAGGAGAGUGGAAUUCCACGUGUAGCGGUGAAAUGCGUAGAGAUGUGGAGGAACACCAGUGGCGAAGGUGACUCUCUGGUCUGUAACUGACGCUGAGGAGCGAAAGCGUGGGGAGCGAACAGGAUUAGAUACCCCGGUAGUCCCUGUCUCUUAUAC
Molecule: ribosomal RNA, 301 nt
Filed under: uncultured bacterium
Lineage: Bacteria
Description: partial 16S ribosomal RNA
Rfam family: Bacterial small subunit ribosomal RNA
Source: RNAcentral